This 76-nucleotide transfer RNA is filed under the name Youxingia wuxianensis. Its description in RNAcentral is "Oscillospiraceae bacterium NSJ-64 tRNA-Val". It matches the Rfam family "tRNA". Rfam says of the family: Transfer RNA (tRNA) molecules are approximately 80 nucleotides in length. Their secondary structure includes four short double-helical elements and three loops (D, anti-codon, and T loops). Lineage: Bacteria; Bacillati; Bacillota; Clostridia; Eubacteriales; Oscillospiraceae. The record is from RNAcentral.
GGACGAUUAGCUCAGCUGGUAGAGCGACUGCUUGACGUGCAGUAGGUCAGCGGUUCGACUCCGUUAUCGUCCACCA